This 253-nucleotide ribosomal RNA is filed under the name uncultured bacterium. RNAcentral's name for it is "partial 16S ribosomal RNA". It matches the Rfam family "Bacterial small subunit ribosomal RNA", at positions 524 to 776 of the family's 1533-position model. The record is from RNAcentral.
UACGGGGGGGGCAAGCGUUGUUCGGAAUUACUGGGCGUAAAGGGCUCGUAGGUGGCCAACUAAGUCAGACGUGAAAUCCCUCGGCUUAACCUGGGAACUGCGUCUGAUACUGGGAGGCUUGAGUAUGGGAGAGGGAUGUAGAAUUCCAGGUGUAGCGGUGAAAUGCGUAGAUAUCUGGAGGAACACCAGUGGCGAAAGCGCCUUGCUGGGCCAGUACUGACACUGAGGAACGAAAGCCAGGGGAGCGAAAGGG